CCUACGGGAGGCAGCAGUGAGGAAUAUUGGUCAAUGGUCGGGAGACUGAACCAGCCAAGCCGCGUGAGGGAUGAAGGUACAGAGUAUCGUAAACCUCUUUUGUCAGGGAACAAAGGCGGGGACGUGUCCCCGGAUGAGUGUACCUGAAGAAAAAGCAUCGGCUAACUCCGUGCCAGCAGCCGCGGUAAUACGGAGGAUGCGAGCGUUAUCCGGAUUUAUGGGGAUUAAAGGGUGCGCAGGCGGUCUGUUAAGUCAGCGGUCAAAGCCCGGGGCUCACCCCCGGCCCGCCGUUGAAACUGGCAGUCUCGAGUUGGAGAGAAGUAUGCGGAAUGCGCGGUGUAGCGGUGAAAUGCAUAGAUAUCGCGCAGAACUCCGAUUGCGAAGGCAGCAUGCCGGCUCCACACUGACGCUGAGGCACGAAAGCGUGGGUAUCGAACAGGAUUAGAUACCCGAGUAGUC
This 459-nucleotide ribosomal RNA is filed under the name uncultured bacterium. RNAcentral's name for it is "partial 16S ribosomal RNA". It matches the Rfam family "Bacterial small subunit ribosomal RNA", at positions 338 to 795 of the family's 1533-position model. The record is from RNAcentral.